GAUGAAGAACGCAGCGAAAUGCGACAAGUAAUGUGAAUUGCAGAAUUCCGUGAAUCAUCGAAUCUUUGAACGCACAUUGCGCCCUCUGGUAUUCUGGAGGGCAUGCCUGUCCGAGCGUCAUUGCUAUACCUCAAGCUCUGCUUGGUGUUGGGCCCUGCCCGCUGCGGCCGGCCCUAAAGACAGUGGCGGUGCCGCCUGGCCCUGAGCGUAGUACAUCUCUCGCUCCAGUGCCCGGUGGUAGCCUGCCAGAACCCCAACUCUCGUGGUUGACCUCGGAUCAGGUAGGGAUACCCGCUGAACUUAAGCAUAUCAAUAAGCGGAGGA
RNAcentral lists this unclassified non-coding RNA (324 nucleotides) under soil metagenome. Its description in RNAcentral is "partial contains 5.8S ribosomal RNA, internal transcribed spacer 2, and large subunit ribosomal RNA". The stretch from base 1 to 120 matches the Rfam family "5.8S ribosomal RNA", at positions 35 to 154 of the family's 154-position model. The record is from RNAcentral.